GGGCACAUGGUGUAGUUGGUUAUCACGCCCGCUUAGCAUUGUUCGCUUUCCAGCUUUCAAUGAAUGCGGGCGGUGCCCGGUUCAAUUCCGGGUGUGUCCA
This is a non-coding RNA of Termitomyces sp. 'cryptogamus', 100 nucleotides long. The record is from the annotation of a GenBank genome assembly. Lineage: Eukaryota; Fungi; Basidiomycota; Agaricomycetes; Agaricales; Lyophyllaceae.